GCCAGUGUGACAUAGCGGUUUGAGUGUUGGAUUACGACUCUGGCGACUAGGGUUCAAUUCCCAGCUUGGCCA
Molecule: non-coding RNA, 72 nt
Organism: Phrynosoma platyrhinos (Desert horned lizard)
Lineage: Eukaryota; Metazoa; Chordata; Lepidosauria; Squamata; Phrynosomatidae
Source: the annotation of a GenBank genome assembly